This 72-nucleotide transfer RNA is filed under the name Parcubacteria group bacterium CG1_02_39_15. Its description in RNAcentral is "tRNA-Thr". It matches the Rfam family "tRNA". Rfam says of the family: Transfer RNA (tRNA) molecules are approximately 80 nucleotides in length. Their secondary structure includes four short double-helical elements and three loops (D, anti-codon, and T loops). RNAcentral also lists the same sequence under 3 other names. The record is from RNAcentral.
GCCGGGAUAGCUCAGAGGCAGAGCAACUGUUUCGUAAACAGUAGGCCGUGGGUUCGAAUCCCUCUCCCGGCU